RNAcentral lists this ribosomal RNA (431 nucleotides) under uncultured bacterium. RNAcentral's name for it is "bacterial SSU rRNA". It matches the Rfam family "Bacterial small subunit ribosomal RNA", at positions 29 to 506 of the family's 1533-position model. The record is from RNAcentral.
ACGAACGCUGGCGGCAUGCCUAACACAUGCAAGUCGAACGAAGCCUUCGGGCUUAGUGGCGCACGGGUGCGUAACGCGUGGGAAUCUGCCCUUGGGUUCGGAAUAACCAGGAGAAAUCCUGGCUAAUAUCGGAUGAUGACGUAAGUCCAAAGAUUUAUCGCCCAGGGAUGAGCCCGCGUAAGAUUAGCUAGUUGGUGAGGUAAAGGCUCACCAAGGCGACGAUCUUUAGCUGGUCUGAGAGGAUGAUCAGCCACACUGGGACUGAGACACGGCCCAGACUCCUACGGGAGGCAGCAGUGGGGAAUAUUGGACAAUGGGCGAAAGCCUGAUCCAGCAAUGCCGCGUGAGUGAUGAAGGCCUUAGGGUUGUAAAGCUCUUUUACCCGGGAUGAUAAUGACAGUACCGGGAGAAUAAGCUCCGGCUAACUCCGU